GACGAACGCUGGCGGCGUGCUUAACACAUGCAAGUCGAACGGAAAGGCCUGCUUUCCCUUGUGGAUUGCGGGUACUCGAGUGGCGAACGGGUGAGUAACACGUGAGUGAUCUGCCCCCAACUUGGGUAUAAGCCUGGGAAACUGGGUCUAAUUCCCGAUAGGACUGCAGGGUGGUGCCUGUGGUGGAAAACGAUUUUCUAGUGGCUGGGGAUGAGCUCGCGGCCUAUCAGCUUGUUGGUGGGGUAAUGGCCUACCAAGGCGGCGACGGGUAGCCGGCCUGAGAGGGUGGACGGCGACAUUGAGACUGAGAUACGGCCCAGACUCCUACGGGAGGCAGCAGUGGGGAAUAUUGGACAAUGGGCGGAAGCCUGAUGCAGCGACGCCGCGUGGGGGAUGACGGCCUUCGGGUUGUAAGCUCCUUUCGACCGCGAGGAAGCCACCUGGUUGGAAGGGUGGUGACGGUAGUGGUAGAAGAAGCACCGGCUAACUACGUG
This 494-nucleotide ribosomal RNA is filed under the name uncultured bacterium. RNAcentral describes it as "partial 16S ribosomal RNA". It matches the Rfam family "Bacterial small subunit ribosomal RNA", at positions 28 to 507 of the family's 1533-position model. The record is from RNAcentral.